RNAcentral lists this long non-coding RNA (38163 nucleotides) under Malus domestica (apple). RNAcentral's name for it is "long non-coding RNA (MDOM_LNC017444)". Lineage: Eukaryota; Viridiplantae; Streptophyta; Magnoliopsida; Rosales; Rosaceae. The record is from RNAcentral.
GCGGCAUUUGUCAGGUUGUUGGUAGAGAUGGACAGAAAAGACAAUGAUUCUAACGCGACUAUUUGAGGUGAUAUCUCGCCUGUGAGCUGGUUGCUGGCCAAUCUAAUAGCAGUUAAGGACUUGCAAGAGUAGAGGCUUUGAGGUAACUCACCAAUGAAGUUGUUGUCGCCAAGGUCCAGAGUGGCGAGGCGUUGGAGAGUAGAAAAAUUGAAGGCAGAGAGCUGUCCAGUCAAGUUGUUAACCCGCAAAUUCAAAGUGGAUAGAUUUGUGCAGUUGGUGAGGGACGGAGGCAAGGCACCAGUGAAGUUGUUGAUGUGUAGGAGCAGAUUCUCCAACCUGAAAAGGUUACCAAUAUCCCCAGGGAUUUGACCAAAGAAGUUGUUCGAAUAAAGCUCGAGGAUCCUGAGAUUGGUGAGGUUCAUGAUGCCAUCACUGAUGGGUCCAGAGAGAAUAUUUACAGGCAGAGAGAGCUGUUGGAGAUCAGCAAGCAUAAAAAUUUCAUCAGGGAGAUAACCAUUAAGGGUAUUGAAACCUGCCCGAAAAGUUUGGAGCCUCGAACACAAUCCGAUUCCUGGGGGAAUUGGGCCAGUGAAUUUAUUGAAGGACAAGUCCAAGAAGGUAAGGGAAGUGUGAUUCCCGCCAUUGCUGACCGGUAUCGGUCCCGAAAAGCUGUUGUUGCUGACAUUGAAAACCGACACUGAAGGGACGAGGAUCGAAGCUGGGAUUGUUCCAUUGAAGAAGUUGCUGGACAAGUUUAUAAUCUGCAGGUGGCUGCUUUCAUUGGAGGAUUGUGGGAAGCGGCCGAUGAGACGAUUGAAGCUCAAGUCAAUGACCGCAAUACUUGGGAGGGAAGAAAGCAAGUCGUCUGGGAGAGAACCCAGGAGGGAAUUGUGGGAAAGAUUGAGGUGGGUGAGACGGGUGAGACGGGUGAGGUUGGUGAUGGCCGGAGAGACGACACCGGAUAAGCCUCUCCUGGGCAGAGAAAGCCGGACGACGCGGCUGUGCUCAACCGGGUCGCAGGUGACUCCAUCCCAAAGGCAGCAGUCAGUGGAAGCAGACCAAUUCAACGGUGUGUUGAAGGGCAAGGACAAAAGAGCGUCGCGAUCGAGCCGGUCGCAGGCAGCAGAGGCAGAGCAAGGAAGAAUAAGAAGGACGAGAACCCAUUGACCCAAAUAGCAGAGAAGACGAAAGGUUGGUGGUGUUGGUAUUGCUGGGACCUUCACCUUCUGCUUGUCGUGUUUCAUCCGAACAAGAGAAGAAGACAUGAAGACUCUCUCUCUCUCACUCAAUCACAUCACCAUCAAUACUAUAACCACAAUCUAUUGGAAUCAUAGAAGAAGCAGCAGCAGGAAUAGUACCAAUCUAGAACGCCCAGCAGGUGUUCGAAUAAAUGCCUGAGAGAUGACAGAGAGAGCUAUAUCUACCUGGUGCAGAGGGCGGGGGGAAUUGGGUUUUUGGGAUGGCAGGAAAACAAAAGAAGAAACCCCAAUAGGGCAAUUGACCCAGGAGAGGGGGGGGGGGGGGGGGGGGGAGAGAGAGAGCAAUGGGUGUGUGAGACAAGUGACGUUGACAUGGGGAGGAGAUAAUAAUAAAUAAAAGGGGAGGGAAGGAGCGCUUACUUUGUGGGCGGCUGGUAGUGGCUGUUGGUGUUGGACAUUUUCUAAUCUUGAAAUCAUGAUGAUGGUCAUGAUGGUGGAGACGAUGGUGAUCCCCUUUCUUUCAACGCCACCAUAAGAAGGAAGGAAGAGAGAGGUUAGCGUGUAUAGUAGGAUUUGGAUAUCCACUUUAACAUAAACCCAGCACAGAACUAGCAAAUUUGGGAGAGAGAGACAGACAGACCUGCACUCAAAUCGUGAGUUCGCCCGAGAAAUUUUCCAUUUCAGAAUCCAAAUCGUGGGUUUUUUUCCCUUCAGCUAUUCAAAUUUUGGGUGCCAGAUUGGAGAUUGGGAGACGACGGGUUUGUGGAUAUUUGGAUCUUUCGGAUUGUUGGAGAGAGAGAGAGAGAGAGUCAAGUCAAGGUUGCAACUUGCUGGUCAAGGGGUUGGAAAUUACAGUGUGUUUGAACAAGGAAAUAAACUUUGUAUUUAGCAAAAAGAAAUGUUUUUAGAAAAAAUUAGAUUUUCAUCCAUGUUAUUUCUACUUCAUUGAUUAAAUUUUUUUUUUUUCAAUUUUUUAUCAUGAUCCUUAGAUUUUAAUAAACGUCAUUAAUUAUUUCAAUAAUAAGAUUUUUUUUUUCUAAAUAUAUUCAUUUAGUGUUAGAAAUGUUACAUUUUUUAUAUUUAUAUUUAUGGUUAAAUUUUUAUCACAUAUUUUUAUUUUUAUUUUUAGUUUGUACCCAUUGUGAAAUCCCGUCUCCGGAUUUCACUAUUUAAAAUUACGUAUUUCGUAUUCUUAGUUUCGACGCUUUUAUAAUUACGGCGUAUAGUUUUUUUUUCAAUAAGUAAAAGGACGAAAAAGCCCUUAAUGAACUAAACAGACUUUUCAAGGACGUAUUUAAUUCCUAUAUGUGACAUGCAAUGGACGAAAUCCCAUCAUUCGAACAUAGUUUCCUUAAGUUCAGCCACUUGAUCAUUUUAACCAUCGACAAUCUAACCGUUGGGUCGUCACCAAACUUUAAUUCGUUAUAGUACAUAAUAUUUGAGGACUUUAGUAACUUACAAAUCGGGAAUCUGACGUAUGGAUCUUCCCGAAUUGAACUUCUAAGUUUGUAAAAUAAAACGUUGACCGCCUCUUAAUUUUAAUGAUUGUCGGAGAUCUGACCGUUGGAUUGUUCCAAAAUUUUAGGAUAUUGUUCUAGAAGAUUAAUGAGACUCUUGAAAAAUUACGGAUAAAAAAUCUGUAGACGGAUGUUCUAGAUCGAAUUACGCAGGUUGGUGGACUUUACCGUUGACAGAGAGUUAACUUCCAGCACAUGUCUCGAAUCGUUCUUAAAUACUAAAAUUAGUACUACUGGAUACUAAAUGAAGUCUAGUAGGCCUACAUUGGUUAGUAAGUGACUUUAAGAUAUGUGAUAUGGUUAUUACCCUAAUUUCGUAUUUAGUAUCCUUUGUGGAUAUCACUUGAUUUUAUAAAUGUGAUUUCUAUUGAAAUGUGACUUUUUUUAUUAUUUAUAUUUAGCCAUUGAUUUAUUUUUAUUAAAUAUGAUUUGACUUGUGCAUUGAUGAUAGUUGUGAAAUGUGAUUUGAAGUGCUUAUUGAAUUGUUUGAUGAAAUGUGAGAGCUUGUUUCAUAUCUUGCUUCAUUGUUUCAUUUCUCGUUUUGUUGAGCCGUUCUAAAUUGAGUAACUUGAUUCAUGUCUUGUUUCUUUGAGCCGUUGUUAUGUUUUUUGGACUUCCACUCGGUUCCGUUGAGUGGUCCAAAACCGGGUUCAGCUGGGGUUCCGUUGAGUGGUCCGGAAUCCCUCGUGCUCCGCGAUUAUGUUGAAUGGUCCGGAAUCAUAUCCUUCUGCUUUGGAUUUCGUUGAGUGGUCUGAUAUCAAUUGUACUCAGCGAUUCUGUUAAGUGGUCCAAAAUUGUAUCCACUCGAAUUCCGUUAAGAGGUCCAGAAUCCCUUCUACUCCGCAAUUUCGUUGAGUGGUCUGUAACCUAAUGUUGUUGGAUUUCGUUGAGUGGUCCGAAAUCAUCUCCUUGACUUCGUUGAUUCGUUGGAUUGGUCUAAAUUGAGAAAGCUUCAGAUAUGUAGACUUCGGCCGAACUGUGUCACUCUAGCCCUGCAUUUUGGUAUAUUGUAUAAGUUAUUAAUUUAUGUGAUUGUGGAAUGGUGUUGGAAAGUAUAUGUGCGUGUGAAUGGCAAGAUGACAACUCUUGUUUGGCUUAUGGUUGACGUGUACUCUAUGUUUUCUGCUAGGAAGUGUUUUACAAAAAGUUCAGAGUUUAAAAAAUGGUAAACUACAAAUGGCUUGAUCCUAUCGGAGGGUACGUAUGCAGUCUAACAAAGAGGUUAGAUGCUGUAACGCCCCAGUCCCGAAAUAUUUACUUUAUUUCGAGAAAUAAUGAUAUUAGUGAUAGGCCCAAAAUAAAACUCUUAUUUAGUUUAUUAUCCUUAGUUAACAACUCCAAAUAAAAUCCUUCAUCCCACAAGCAAUUUAUAAGCAUUAUUCAUUUUUCCAGAACAUACAAUUUAACUUCCAAUUUAGUACCAUUUCUUUGUAGGGACCAAUUUCCAUUAUGUAAAAGAGAUGAUUAGUUGUGGUGGAAUUGGUAAAAGAGAUGAUUAGAGAUAAUUUUCAGGUGAUGGGGGACCUUAAUUUCAUUGGAAUUUGGCCGGGAGACAACAAAUCCCGCCGGUUAUGCCUCACGAGUCAAAAGACUCGUUUUUCCCCCUUCUUCCUCUUGUUCUCUCCUUUCCCUCCUUUCUUCCUUUUCUGAUUGGGUUGUGCCCAUUUCCACCACUCACCAACCGCCACGUGGCUACACACCCAUGCUCCAAAAGAUCUGGAGCUCUCCAGAAAAUGGUCGAAUGACCAUUUCAUCCCUGACUUUGUUUGUUUAUAUCUUCUUCGUUAUAAGUCCAUUUCAUGAAUGGUUUGCGCCCACGUGUUCAUGGGGUCGAGCUCUAUUCACAUAUAUAAAUUGUGACCUAAAAAGGUCGACGGAUUUUAAAUAAUUAAUUUCCAACUUCAAACUUCGUAACUAUUUUAAUUUAAAACUAGAUUCAAAUAAAUUAAUAUAAUUCCCCAAUGAAUAACAUAAAAUCUUGAUAACACUUUACAUAACUUAUAAAAUUUUCAAUAACAAAACUAUAAAAUUCCCCAAUUCUAUUUCUAUAAUCAUAAAUCGAUUUAUUUUCGAUUUUUCCCCACAUAUUAUGAAUAUCCAUCUCAUAUAUUUAAAUUUUUCAGGGUAUUACAGAUGCAGUCAUAAAGUAUACAAAAAAUUAUUACGCAAUCUGAAUUUUGAGUUAUGGCUUGUCCAUAUCCCGAAGGCGAGGUAUGUUAGAUAUACGGGUAUCUGGUGACGUCGCAUGUCAAUCCUGUACGUAUGUAGGAUCGGGGCGUGACACCUAUUUUUAAUUUGCAACCCUUUUUUUAAUUUGUACCAAUUUUCUCUUCAAUUUUAAUUUGUACCCAUAUAUUAAUUCCUUUUUGUGCCCAUAUUUUUUAAACUUUUAUUUGUAUUUGUACCCAUAUUUUUUUAAUUUAUUUGUACCCAUUUUUAAUUUUGCUAAAUGUACCCAUGCUAAUUAUAUGCAUUUAUUUAAAGGAAAACUAAUGAAAAAAUGCUUGAAAACUUUGAGUUUUAACGAUAAGGGAAAAAUAAAGGGUAAAGUGAAUAGUACUAGAAUUGAUUUUUUAGUGUAAAAAUGUGGUUUUAGUUAAAGUGAACGGUACCGGAUGUUUUUCGUUAAAGUUCCCUUUAUUUUAUGUUUUAAAAUAUAUCAAUAGUUAUUUUUUAAUAUGUUAAUAAUUAUGUGGGUACAUUAUUUUUUUGCUAUAAUUUUUGUGAAGAACAAUAUUACUCUAAAAUUGAUUUUUAAGUAUUUAUUAUAUUUUAAAAAUAUUAUUUGAAUUUGUUUAAAUUUCAUAAUUGGUUGGACAUUAAAUGCAUAAAUGUAUGAGUUAAGUCUCUUAAAUGAGGCUAAGGACAUCGGUCAAAAUAUUUAAACAAACAAGGUUUCAGUCUAACAAUUAAGUUGAUUAAGGAUCGGAACCAAAAUGACCCUAUUUAUUUUCUUUGAACUAGCCUUCAUACAUGCGCUUACGCGCGUGCAAAAGAUAUUUUUUGAAUUACGAUGUGCUACACAUGUGACAACUCGUCCCUACUUUUACGAUUUUAUUAAUUUUAGAAGAGUGAAAGGACAAAAUUGCCCUUUGAGACGAGGAGGUUGACUUUCGUUGACUGCCAUGUCAUGUCAUGUAAGACUCGUUUUCUUGGCGUAUCCUCGUAGUACUCAUCGCUACGAAUGCGUAGGUGCAAACAGAACAUAAUUUGGAGUUAUAACAAAGAAGUUAUUAACGAACAAAGUUGAGGACAAAAUGGUUAAUUAAUUAUUUUCAGGAAGGCUCCAUAUUUUUUAAGCUAAAUCUGGAAAGCCACGUGUGUCGCUGAGAUUGAAUGGAAGGAGAGAUGGUCGAUGGAGAUGGAAAAUAAAGGAGAAAAAUGAGGGAUAGGUAAGGACGAAUGGAGAGAUGGGGGAGGGUGAUUGACCAAUGGGAAAGAGAAGAAAGGAAGAAAAAUGAGAGAGUGAGGGAGCACCAGAUCACCCUUGACCCAAUUCCUCCCCACUGACCCGACCCGUUCCGCAGCCAUUCCGACGGUUUUCCGUCAAUUUAUCCACCAAAUUGCAGCCAUUCACCAUCUGGGAACUUCUCACCAGCCCUUUUUCUUCAAUUUCCACCCAUGAUUGACGGGUUUUUGACCCCUAGUUUCACAAGAACACCCACGUCGGCUCCGAGGGAUGCACGGCAGCGAAUCUGCCAUUCCUGCAGUGAUUUCUUUCAAUUGUCACCACCAAUAACCCUCCCUUGAGCUCAAGAACAAUGCCCAAUCAUUGGUUGGAACGUCGGAGUUGAUUUGAGGACAAAUCAAGAACACCCAAAUUCUAGGGUUCCGAUGGGUUCGUGGGGAUUUGAAGCAUUUCCCGACCAAAUUGAACUUGGCCAUAGGUAUAAAAUUUGUUCUACUCGUUGAGAUCUUCAUUUUUGUGAAGUUUGAGAAUUUUUAGAAAUAGUUGAUUUUUCAAGCGAGUUGGGGUUGUCGACCGCCGUGUACGGCGGCACGUGGGCUGAGGCAUCCCUUGACCUUCCUAGGCUAAAUUUGAUUCUCCAAUUCCGUACGUGAAGUUCGAUUGACAAAUUUCUGUCGUUUGAACCUAGUUCCAUUAAGGUCCGUCACUUGAUUAUUAUAGUAAUUGACAAUCUGACCGUUAGAUCAUCACCAAACUUUGAUACAUUAUAGUACGUAAUAUUUGAGGAUAUUAGAAAUUUACAGAUCUGGAAUCUGACGUACGGAUCUUCCCGAAUAAGAUAUGUAAGUUGCGUGUUCUAUUGAUAAGAAUUCUGAGACGUGAUUUGAUAAUUGUUCUAGGCACCGAUCGUUCUUGACACCUCGAUAUUCGUGCUAGGGAGUUGUAGUGCAGACUUCAGGUGAGUGGGUCUUUUUCCUUUUUAUAAUGUGUAUAUAUAUACCUUUUGAUUUUCCAGAAAUGUUUUAAAUUGAUUAUGCAUAGCAUGCCAUGAUUUAAAUGUGUUAUAUUUAAAUAUUUCAUUGUGAUGAGAUUUGUGGUUAUGCCAAAUGAUCCUACGGAGGCGCAGGUAAGUUCAGGUGAGUUAUUAUGUGAUUGAAAUGGUUGAGCAUGCAUAUAUUCAUUUAGAGCUCAUCAUUGUUGCACUCAUGUGUUAGUGCUCCCACCCCGGGCUAGGGCACAACGUUCAUGUGAUUGUUCACCUCCCGCACCUCACGUUCACCUUGGAUCCAAGUUAGGUGCUAGCCUGUCGUAUAAGUUGCAUUAAGCGACUCCGACUCGUAGGUGACCCGAGCAUAGCGCUAUCUUUCACGUGAUCGUAGCACUAGAGUGUACAUAUAUACACCCAGCCUGUCGUACAGGUCACACUAGGUAACUUCGACUAGUGUGCUAGCAUAGAUUGAUGAGCAAUAGGUCUAGUCGUACAUGUCACAUUAGGUGACUCCAACUGGCAUGUUAGUUUAGAUUGAUCUCACACUUGGCUUACAUUUAUUAUUGCUAAGAUAUUGUGGCAUGUCAUGCUUCUGUUUUUACUGCACCUGUGUAUUCAUUUUGCGUACCUACGUAGUAUUAGUUUCUGGAAACUAUACGGGUUUUACGGCGAGGAGUUAUAACGCUUUCAAAAGGUUUUUAUUAAAACUUUAUUUUCAAGCCCACUCACCCUUGUUUUUUGCCACUCCAUGUUCUAGUAGCAGAGUUUUCAUACCGACAAGGAUUAUCGGUAAAUCUUGGGGUAGACGAUUACCAUCGAUGGUAUAAUUCUCACCCUAUUUUACUGUACUGUACUUAUACUCUAUCAUCACGUGUGAAAUGGGUUCAUACCCGCUCACUGCGCACUCUUGUAUUUAGGCACUUUUAGGUUUAAACUAGCAAGUAUGCCCGCAUGUUGCAGGUUUUAAAGCAAUAUAAAACAUGUAAAAGGAUAUAUAUAUAUAAUGAGGAACAAAAUAGGUGUCCAAGGUUGAGGUACUAUUUACAUAGAUAUGAAAAUUCAUUUUCAACCUUAUUUACAAUGAGGAACAAAAUAGUCCAAGGUUGGAGUAAUAUUGCACACAUGAGUAACAAAAUAGGUGUCCAAGGGUGGGGUUCUGCAUUUCUUCUCACCUGUAAGUUUUCUUUUGUCUGUUACAUUACAGAUUGGGAAAAUGGAAGUUGUUAAUGUAAAUAAAUGAGAGUCUUAGUGUAAAUGAGUCUUAGUGCAAAUGAGAGGACAAAAUAUAGGCGUGGUUUGAACUAUAGAUAAAAACAAUGAAAAUAAGUUGAAGAGUAUUGCCUUAUUUAAGAACAAAGGUCCUAAACUUUAAAUCCUAUAUGAAUCAAGUUUCUGAAACCAUUCAUAUUCAAAUACAUUUAAUUAUUAGAAGCGAUAUUAGAAGGAUGAAAAAAAUAGCCUAUGACAUAAGGUAUCAUAAAUUAAAAUUAUCAACAAUCUCCUCUAUCUUGCUCAAAUAAUAUGUAUCUAAUAACUUUAGAAUACCUAUUCCCAUUACAAAACAUAAAGAAGCUACAACCAUAACAAAUACAUUUAAAUACGCAAAUAUGCAGCAAAUCCCUAACACCAUUGCAAGCAAUUAAGAAAAAAGUGCCUCUUAAAUGAACCACCAAAUUCAAAUUAACAAUUUUCUCCAUAAAAGAAAAAGAUACCUGAUUCGGUUCAAAACAGUUCAAAUUCCACAACCCCGAACCAAAUGGGGUUGUAAUUUGACGUAAUGGGAUGGCUGCAUCCAAACGAAUAGCUUCAAUCAAUUCAAGUCAACGAAAUAUCAAUAAUUUAUCCAAAAAAAAAAAAAUUCAAAUAAUGAACACCAGGGGACUGAGGAAGAGGUAAAAUCUGAGACAAAAAAAAAAUUGAAAUUUUAGAGAUAUUUUUAUUGGAAUCAGAUUCUCUUACUCGGAGAUGGAAUAGAAAGUGCUAAGAGUGGUAGAGGGGUUUAGGCGUCCGUUUGAAGCCAGAGCGGGAAAAAUGGAAGCAAACCUCCUACAAUUCAGAAAACCCAGAUGAAAAACUGAAAACAGUUUUUGAUGAUGAGUCGUACCUAGUUCGAGAGAGGAGUAGUGCUGCCAGAGAUCUCUGGUGAAAAUACUAAAGAUGGACCAAACCAUUGGACAAAGAUAACCCAGAUUUUUAAAAUUGAAAUCACAAAAUUUUGAACAAAGAAAAGAGAACCCACAACUAAACCAGAAACAAAUACGUCGGAGAAGUAUUCAUGCAAAGGAAAUCCGACAGCGACUUGAAAAAAAAAAGAUGUGAGAGAGACAGAGACGAACCUACUUGCAGAGACCAGGGGUUCGGGUCUUGAGCGAGAGAGCGGAAGAACUGGAGAAAUAUGUUUUGGAAGCAAAUGGAAGAGCCCUGGCUUUCCAUCCUUCUUGCCUUCACGAUGAGCAACACGUGUAUAGAAGGGGUAAAUAAGCAAAUUCAAUGUGCAACACACGUUAUAAAAACCUUAGAUGAGUGGCAAAUAAAGGGCAAACUCGUCAAAGCACUGUUAAUGAACAGUAACCGAAACUGAGUUUUAGUGUAUAUAAUUUAUUCACAUCUUCCACAUCAAUACACUUUAUGGUUUCAUCACAUUCCAGAUGUCGGCCAACACAACUUGAUUCGAAGUCCUAGUGGACAUCCCGGGUUGGGGUGUGUCAACGUGCGACUUACACGUUUUAAAUGUAUUUAUAUGUGUGAAUUGCUUCAAUAUUUUUUUUUAUGACAAAAAGAAAGUCAAAUAUUUGAAGUAAAUGAAUAAUAUUAGACCAUGCUAGAAGAAACCAAUCAAAGUAGGUGAAUCCACAUAAUAAAAUUGGUUUUUCAAUUUUCAUCUACAUUCUAUUGAAUUUACAUUAAGAAUAGAGAAAAUAAUAUUUCAUAAACAACUGAUAGAAUCACAUUAUUACUAGCUCAUUGUGAGGUUAAGCCCACCCCCCCUCUCUCGUAGUGUCCCCUACAUUAUUUGAUGCAUUAUUUUGGGAUGCUUUUGAAUUUUUUUUGUUUUGGGGGCCUUUUUGUCCAAAUUGUUUUGGUGAAGCUGUGACCAAUAGGGGUUUGCUGGCUUUAUAUAUAGAGAUAACACCAUUUGUUAAAAUAAAAAGAUUAUUUGACAACUAAUUGAAUCACAUUAUUAUGCGGGUGCAAAAAACCUUUUUUUAUAACUAGCACUAUGCACCUCCUAAGUGUUUAAAAGUAGAUAAAAUAAUAUUUAACAAACAACUAAUUAAAUUACAUUAUUAUGUGCGUGCAAAAGGCCUUUUUUUAUCACCGGCGGUACGCAUCUUUUAAGAUGUUUUGAACGUGCUUAAAAAUAGAGAAACUAAUAUUUUACAAAUAACUGAUUAAAUCAUAUUUUUGCUAACCCAUUGUGAGGCUACACCCAACCCCUCCCCUUAAUGUAGAUAAUAUCGUUUGUUUGAAAAGAAAAAAACAAUCAUUUGACAACCACUUGAAUCACAUUAUUAUGUGCGUGUGAAAGACCUUUUUUUUAUAACCGGUACUACGCGCCUCUUAAGAUGUUUUCAAAGUGUUUAAAAAUAGAGAAAAUAAUAUUUAAUAAACAAUUGAUUGAAUCACAUUAUUGUUAGCUCAUUGAGGCUAAGCUCACUCCAUAGUGUAGAUAAUAUAGUUUGUUUAAAAUAAAAAAAACAAUUAUUUGACAAUUAAUUGAAUCACAUUAUUAUACGCAUGCGAUUUAUAACCGGCAUUACAUGUCUCUUAAGAUGGUUUGAAUAUUUAAAAAUAGAUAAAAUAAUAUUUAAUAAACAACUGAUUGAAUCACAUUAUUGCAAACCUAUUGUGAGAUACUAAUUAUUAAAAAAAUUUGUACAAAAAUAAUUAAUUAUUAAAAAACACAGUUUAUAUGACGAAAAUACUUCUGCAUUAUUUAGUGCAUUAUUUUGGGUUACUUUUGAAUUUUUUUGUUUUGGGGGCAUUUUUGACCAAAACUUUUUGGUGAAGCCGUGACCCCAAAAGGGUCUGCUGGCUUUAUAUAUAGAGAUACUAUUUGUGGUUUGUGUCUGGUUGUGAGACAUGAAUAAUUCUUCCAACUUUUGUUAGUUUUCGUGGCAUGUUGGUUGUUGGAGUUUUUUUUUUUUUGUCUAACAUGUAUUGAUGUGUAUUCUAAAUUGGUGUGGUGAGACUGAGUGAUACAUAUAUGCUAAUUCUUCCAUGUAAUGCAAAAGCACAAGGUUGUGAAUUUUAAAGUAUCCGUUACCACCUUCGAAAAUCAUGCCCCCAUUUUUUUCCAUCCAUUUUUCUUAUUUAAUAAAGUCUUGUGACCCCAAAGUAGAGUUCUGGCUUUUUAAUAGUAAAGAUAUUAUAUUGUGUUAAUAUUGAGCUUUGUCCUAUAUAUAAACCCCAAUUUUCGAUCGAAUUCCAUCAUAUCAUUUUGUGUAUUUUUAGAAUUAACAGUCACCUUUUUGUCAUAGUCCAAGUUUUUUUCUACUAAACCAAUUUUAACUUUUAAGCCAUUACGAACUCUAUAUGAUUUCAAACAGGGUCCUCGAAUUGGAAUGGAUUUGUAAACAUAUAGCAGGCGCCGCUUGAUAGACGGGAUGGCUUUGAUAGAUUAUUCAUUGUAAUAAAGGCAUUUUAGAGGAAGAAAUAGAUGACAAAUUCGUUAUUUUGUCCAUGUUGGUAGUUACUCGUGAAAAAAAUGCAUCCCUUAAAAGGGAGAACUAUUUUUCAUGAGUAAUCUUCAACUUAGACAAAAAAGGAAUUUGUUCAUUCAUUUUUUUUUUCCCUUUAAAAUGCCUUUACUAUGGUGACUAGUUCUAUUCAAGCUAAUUUUCUCCAUCAAACGAGGUUUAAGAGCUCAACCAGCUGAAACCAGAUUAGGGUUUUUAAUUGAAAUAUUUUAAUACAAUUUUAAUGUAAACAAAAUCAGAUUGCAAACAAGAAGCACUAAUGUUAGCACCAAUGCUGGGAAAAGAACGCUAGCACAGGUAUAGUGGCAAAGUCAUGAAUUGUCGAGAGGAAGGGCAAAAACUAAAAUGGUAAAAGGUCCAAAAAAUGUAGACAGCCAGACCAUUUUAGAUAGUAGACAAUUUUAAUGUCGUUAUAAUUUGUCAAUACAUACAAGUUACAAUUGUUGUCAACGAGGUGGUGGCCUGUGGUGGCUGAAGACGGUGGUGAGUUGGCUGGGCGGCGGCGGCAUGCUGAUGGCCGCUGGUUCCAAUGUAGAAACUUGUGUCUUCUUUUUGUCUGGACACAAGCACUCCACUUUACUGUUCGUGUGUGUAUAAUAGUGGACGAGUGGUCCCCCGUUUUGUUAUAUAUAUAUGAAGCCUUUAAGGGAAGAGAUUCUCAUUUUUCAAAAAAAAAUAGGAACACUCUCUUGACCGUUAGAUCUGGCUUUAAUGAAAUUAUGUGGUUGAGAUUUUGUGGCCUGUAAUUUAAUGUCAACCGCAGAAUUUCAUUAAAGUCAAAUCUAACGAUCAAGAGGAUGUCCCUUUUUUUAAAAAAAAUAGGGAUCACUUUCCUUAAAGGGCCUGUAUAUAUAUAUAUAUAUAUAUAUAUUAACCACAGUAAUAAGACCAUUUCUUUUUCUUUUCUCAUGCCCAAAACAAUACCGUUUGGGCCUAGGUCUAGAAAGAAAAAAGUCGAGUGCAACAACGGUGAUAGUAACCUUCAUUCAAGCAUUUCGUCAAUGACCUUCAUUCAAGCAUUUUGUCAAAUAUGUGAAUUUUCGACGACCGGAGGGGCGACUGCAUCUCCGUGUGUUGCUGUGGCUUUUGCCAAUGCACGAGCGGUGGACUUUUCUGACUCAAAUUAACUAAUAUCGUUGGUGAUAGUUGUUGAAACAAAAGGUCAAUUUGUUAUAUAAUUAUGGCAAUUGUCAAUGUUAUAAAAGAAAAUGGUUUAUUUUUUAUUAUUCCUUUGUGUCUUGAUUGAUUUCAUUUUCUUUUUGUAACUUAAAUCGUUCUACUUAACUUCUAAAACUUUAUUUCCGUCACGCCUUACAUGGAUUAUGUCAAUUAUGUAAAAUGGGAGUCAAAUUUUCUCAUACAUCAACAAAUUGGCCAAUUUCACGGAGUUGACAGAAUCCAAGCAAUGUGGGAUGAAACCAAAUUUUAAAGGGAUUAAGUGGAAUGAUUUGAGUUUUCAAGAAAAAGUGAGGCUAAAAUCGAGUUUCAUAGGGAAUAUAUAACAAAUAAAAAGACAAUUAAGCCACUACAAUUGUUGCAAUAGUUGGACAACAAGAGCUGGUCCUAGACCAGCAGCUUUUGUGCCUAAACAUUAGGGGUGCUUGUUGCCGCUAGUAAUUUCGACACUUUAGGGGUGGGGAUGAAGAUGGCGGUUUACAUACAACCGAGGUAUCUCUUUAUUAACAUGUGGGAGCAAAAGAGUUUAGAUUUAUCAAGACCUCAUCAUAGUCAAUAUGGACCCCCACCACCCAUCAAUGCAAUGCACGGUGUUCUUCGACUCAUCACUAUUCUGAGCACUAAAUAGAGCUCCAUUUGAUCUCCCAGAAGUAGAAGCUGAAUCGUUAUAGGCUAUAAUGUGUGGGUGCUUUAUCAGAUGUCGAGCCCACUAGUUCUAUGCAUCAAACUGCUACCUUUCCCACCCCUUCCUCCGAUGCCGAGUAUUGAUCUGGAGAAGGUGCAGGAAAUACAAUUUGCUAAGCACCCAGACCCAUAAUUCAUUGAAAAUGGAGUUCUUGGUACUAGUCAUUACAGACGCAUAUACAAAUGAACUCAAUUGUGUAAACCGAAAACUCAAUAUUGUUGUUACAAGAAUAGCAAAUCCUUAGGGGAGCCCCAAUAUUCUCGCAGAAUUUUGGACGAUUGAAGAACAUAAAUUCAUUUCGCAAAGCAAUGAAAAAAAAUUGAAUUAACUGAAGUGUGUGAAAAAAAAAAGAAAAAGAAGCAGAAUUGCUUAGAUAAUCAAGUAAAAUAAGGACGAAAGAGUAACUUGCACAAAAAUUUACAUUUUUCAAUUCGAUCGGAUCUAUUCGUUUGUGGAGCUAGUUACUCAAUUGCAUACAUUUUUAAAAAACUUAUUAAACUACUUUAAUUUAUGAAGAGGAUAAUUCAACUUAAAUGUAAAGAUUCGAACGCAUAGAUCAAUUGGUCCAUUUUUGAUAAUUUCAAGUAGGACUGGAGAGUAGAUAGGAACACUCUGCAUCAUUGAACCUUUUUUCUGGUGGUCCUAAAAAGCAUCUUUAAUUUGUUUUAAAAGAUGAGAGUUAAUCUUGUCCAUGUUUUGAUAAUCAAUUCACAUUAUCUUAUGAUCAGUGCGCACUACUCACGCUUUUACGUGCAAAGUCCACUUUUGAUGACCUGAAUUUGCCCUAAAUAUUUUUUUUUUGUUUUGUUUUAAACAAAAUAUUUAAUUAAAGAAUAUCAUUUUUUUAGGGAAAACUAAAAAGUAUGCGCCAGGUUGGAUGCAUUAAGCCAAUACUAGAUGAAAAAUAAAAUAGUUGAAAAAACAAUAAGAAUCUAGUGCCUAGUGGAACAUAUAAAAAGAAUGCAUUUGUCAAACUAAACUAUAGGCAAAUGAAUAUGAUCCAAAUAUUAAAUAAACGUGCAUAUGACACUUUAUCGCAAUGAUAGAAAGUAAUGAUUCAUAUAUAUUUUGGUGCAGGUUUAAUCUUUACUAAUUUCAUUCUCUUCUAGCAACUAAUAAUUUAACCUAUUAACAAUAUCGUUUGUAAAAAACAAAAAAAAAAAUUUAAAACUAUUAAACAAACGCAACUUCCAAUUGAUUAUUACAUACAUGCUAUAAUGUGAAUCGAACACUUGGUGUUGAAUAAUAAAAAAAAAAGAUAUCAAUCUUUGAUGGAUUAGGGUUUUGGUUCUUUAUUUUAUAUACCCACCAAAACCUGAUAUGGAAAUGUUCACACGGUUGCAAAAGGAGGCAUUUGGAAAUUGCAACUUCGCAAAGAUUUAGAGGAAGAAAUUUUUAUGGGUACUAGAAACAUAUAUAAGUCACAUCCGUUUCGUUUGUUACAUCGAACUAGUUUAGACUGAACUAGUUUCAGAGACUAAGUUGAAUUUGCUUGACUUGAAUUAAACUUGUUUAACUUUGGCUUGGGGUAAAUUAGAUUAGAUUAAUGAAUCAUUUAACUCGGACUUGAAUUAAGCUUGAUUAACUUGGCAUAAAAACCAUGAAACCGUGAAAACGAAUUGAACCGUGAUAAAAUAAACCAUUAAAAAUCGUGUUGACCAAGAACCGGACUGAACUGACACACCCCGUCCCGAAGGAGGGCAUGUUGGUCGUCACGUGAGAGUGACGUAAUCAUUUACACAGUUCGGAAGCUUUAAAAAAAAUACAAUUACUAAGAUGAAACACCCGAGGGUGAGUCCUACUUUUGUGAAUUCUGUCAGAACAUCGCUGGAUUCCUCGUGGCCACCAAAGCUCUGCUAUCUAGAACCUGCAGGGGCGCAAAACAAAAUUGAGUGGGUCAGUAAAACAAUGUUUUUUGAAAACAUUUCAUUUAAAACAUUUCUAACCCCUCGCUGUAAAACAUGUAUACUUUCCCAGAAAAUAACAUAAUAGCAUAUACCUUCAAAUAUCUCAAAUCAUCAAUUUUUAUUAAAACAAAAAAGUAUGCCAUGUCAUAAUGUCAAAAACAGAAUAUGGAUGCAUCAAUGUAACAGGUGAAAUAAGGAAUCAACCGGAGACCCUGCAGUUGGUCCUGUACGGUUAAUUCUAUAACUCAAUAUCCAAUCCAACCGGAGUCACCACGGUGACCUGUACGGCGCUACUCUGCACAUAAGUCGAAACUACCUGAAAUAGUCUGUACGACAAGAAUGGAGUAAUAAUACGCUCUAGUGCUUCUCUCAUCAAUCAUCUGUGCACAUAAUCUAAGGUCACCUACCAGUCGAAACCACCUCUAGUGGUCUGUACGAUUAGCAUGUCGGAACCCUCUAUCGGUCUGUACGACAUGCACGUACUUGGAUCCAAGGUGAGCGUACGGUGCGGUGAAUAAUAUAAACACUAACACCAGGGGUGCAGGUUAUGAGCUCUCAACACAAUUCACAUCAUCAAUGAUUCACAUGAAUAACAUAAAACUCACAUGUGCGUCCACAGCACCAAUUCACAUAUAUAUGCAUCAAUUAUCAAAUCAUAUAUCUCAUAAUAUGCAUGCAUGGCAUUUUAAAACAUACUUUCAUUUAAACUCAAUUUCUGGAAAAUCGAUAGUAUAUAGGUAUAAACAGAAAUACUGCCCACUCACCUGGAGUUCGCCCAACAACUCCCUAGCACAACACAUCGAGGCGUCGUGACGAUCGGCACCUAGAACAAUAAUCAAAUCCAACCUCAGAAAUCAUAUCGAUAGAAUAUAUAACUUAUAUAAAACACGUCACUACGUAGUUCGAUCCGGAAGAUCUGCAACUCAGAUUUCAAAUCCAUAACUUCCAGAGGUCCACAUAUACCUCUAGGACAUCAUCUUAAAAUUUCAUUACCAUCCAACGGUCGGAUCUCCGUCAAUUGUCGAAACCGAGUGACAGUUAACAUUCUAUUUUAUGAACUUACAACUCCAAUUCCAGAAGAUCCGUAAAUCAGAUUCCCAAUCCGUAAGUUCCUAUAAUCCUCAAAUAUUACGUAUUACAAUGUAUCAAAGUUUGGUGACGAUCCAACGGUCGGAUCGUCAAUUCACAUUUUCACCUAACCACGAAUCGUAACGAACUUAGGUUCAAUUACUCAAUUUACGUCCAUCAAUUAUCAAAACUGAACCUAGAACCUAAAACACAUGCUAAGAAUGACAUUGGCGGGCCAUUGGCCACGCGCUACCGCACGGGCCGCCCCGGCUCGCCGGAAAAUCCAACUAUUUCAAAAAAUUCUCAAACAAUACAUAAUUGAAGAUCUCAAUGAGUAGAGUAAACUUUAUACCUGAGGACAAGGCCAAUUUGGCCUGGAAGAGCUCCAAUUUCACCAAAAUUCGUGCGGAACCCUAGAAUUGGGUGAGUUCCAAUUCGUCUUCAAAUCAACUACGUCGUCCCAACCAAUGCUUGGGCUUUGUUCUAGGUCCUAAGGGAAUGCUAAAGGUGUUAGUAAUUGAAAGAAAACAUUUCAAGAUUUGAAGAAUUUGAACAAGAAAGUCGCGACACCCACGGGUGCGUUCUUCACCAAUUCACCAUCAAAUUUCAUGAUUUUUGGGGUGAAACAUGAAGAGGGAAGGCCUAGGUGAUGAUUGGAAGUGGUACCUUGAUCCAAUUUGUGAGAAUUCCGGUGAAAAUCGUCGGAAAAAUGGAGAUGGGUGCACGGGUACAUGGGUUGGGGAAAACCCGUUUCUUCCUUCUCUCAUCCGCUUCUCGCUCUCUCUCAUUUCCUCCUUUCUUGCUUUCUGAUUGGCCAGUCUCCUCUCUCUCUUCUCCCCAUUCGCCAGCUCUCUCUCUCCUUUCUCUCCCGGAGCUCCUGCUCUCUUCCUCUGGUUGGGUAGUUUUUGCCCAAUCUCUUCUUCUUCUUCUCUUUUCUUCCCCAUUUCCCGUCACAUACAGACACACACAAAACCUUUCUAUAUCUUUUUAUUUUUAUUUUCUUUCUCUUACAUCCAAGCCAUCCAUUUCAGAUUUCCUUUAAUCUGGGCCAUCCAUUUUCAUAAAAGAAAUUCUAGAUUUUACUAAAAUUAUAAUUCCUUAAAAUCCCAAAUUUCAAAAGUUAAUAACUUUUUCAAUAUAACUCCAAAUCAAGAACCAUCAGCGCCCACACGUCCGUAGCGACGAGUACUACGAGGAUAUAUCAAGAAAAUAAAUCUUAGAUGGCACGACACAACGAUUAACCUCGAAUGAUGCACGUGCCUAAAAGGGCAUUUUUGUAAAAUACUUUAUUAAAACUUUAAAAACUCUUAAAAUUAGGGACGGGCUGUCACAAUCUACCCACCUUAAAAAAAAUUUCGUCCUCGAAAUUUACACAAUCUUUACAAUUUAUCGAUAUCCAUAAAACAACCUGGAACACAUCCCUCUCAUUCGAUCUUUUGUCUCCCAAGUAGUUUCUUCUGCUGAAUGAUUCCUCCAUAAAACUUUUACCAAGUACACUGUUUUAUUUCUCAGGACUUCCUCUAUCUAUUCCAAAAUAAUCAUGGGUUUCUCAUUAUAAGUCAAAUCCGAAUUAAUCUUUAAGGGCUGAACCAGAAUCAUACACGACGAAUCUGCUACUUUGUAACGGAGCAUCAAAACAUGAACUACACUAUACACCUUACCCAAUCCCGAAGGUACUCAAACUUGAAAGUAUUUCACCGAUUCCUUCAAUAGUCAAAGACGGCCUGAUGUACUUAGGAUUUAACUUGUCUUCCAUUUCGACCCGAACCGCACCUUUCCAAGGUGAUAAUUUCAAAAACAUCCAAUCUCCUGCAUUACACGUCCGGUCAGUGGCAUGUUUGUCUGCUAAGCUCUUCAGCCGAUCCUGGCUCACUUCCAGGUUAGACUUAAUUACUUGAAUAUUCCAAGUAGUGUCAUCCACUAACUCAGGGCCUUGAAUACCAUCCGUCCACAAUUCUAACAAUUUCGAAACACAAGACACAUCUUUCCACGACCUUAUGGCGUUGCUCUAGAUAACAAACUGAAAGGACCAACAUACCCAAGAAGUUCAACAGAUCCGUAAGCCCAAAUCACUUUUCCAUAAGACAGAUAAAUAACUGUUGCACUUCUGGAAAGAUUACUGCUCUUUCAUUGAAGAAUAAUGCGCUGAUUUAGUAAGCCAAUCAAUUAUCACCUCAAUUUCAUCAUAACCAUCUCGUGAAUGAGGAAACUUGCACACAUAAUCUAUAUUAAUAUUUUCUCAUUUCCGCUGUGGAACGGGAAGUAACUACAUCAAUCCAAAAGACUUCUUUCUUUCCAUUUUAACCUGCUGACAGAUGUUACAUCUAUUUAUAUAUACAAACAUUUCUCUUUUCAUACCUGACCAAUAGUAAAAUGAUCGAAUGGUAUAAUACAUCUUAGUACCUCCAGGAUGCAUUGUAUAAGUUGAACAGUACGCAAAUUCCAAAAUUGCUUCCUUUAAUUCCAUAACAUUAGGUAUAAACACCUUGUUCUCUUGCAUAAGCUUGCCAUCUGAAUCUCUAACUCUGAGGUAUUUCUUUUUCCCGUUAUUCCUUGCUUGAAAUAAAUUCUUGAAUUUCUUCGUCAAACGCUUGAGUCUCGAGUACGACCUACCAAAUAGGCCUAACUUGAAAAUUAGCAAGUAUGUUUUCUUUCGAUCUUCCAUUCCCAACUUUACUCCAGUAGAUCUCAAAUCCACAAGAAGAUGAACAUGGCAAUCGUACCAAGUAUUAAUUCUCGCUGGGGUCUUCCUGCUAAAAGCAUUGGCCACAACAUUUGCACGAUCACCCUGGUCGUGCAAUCAUAAUCACUAAGCAACACAAUCCACCUUCGUUGCCUAAGAUUAAGAUACAUCUGAAUAAACAGAUAUUGGAUACUCUUUUGAUUCGUAAAAAUCUUGCACUUUUCUUCCCAUAAAGACAAUGUCUCCUCAAAGCAAAGAUGAUAGUUGCUAAUUCUAAAUCAUGAGUAGGGUAAUUCAUCUCAUGAGGUUUCAAUUGUCGUGAAGUGUAGCAAUCACUCUAUCAUGUUGCAUCAACACACAUCCUAACCCAUUCAAGGAUGCAUCACUGUGGACCUCAUAAUUACCUUUAUCAUCUGGGAGUGCUAAAACAGGUGUAUGAGUGAGAUAAUGCUUCAGUUGCUGAAACUUUGUUCACAAUUUUCAUCCACUCAAACCUAACUUCUUUUCUAGUCGAUCCCGCCAAUGGCAAAGCAAUGACUGAAAAAUCCUUUACAAACGUUUAUAGUAGCCUGCUAGACCAAGAAAACUCAGUACCUCAGUGACGGUUCGAGGUUGUUUCCAAUUCUCCCCAGUUGUCACUCAUUGAGGAUUUACUUGAAUACCUUGUGCAGAUAUCACAUGUCCCAAAAAUGCCACUUGAUUCGUCCAAAAUUGACAUUUGCUAAACUUAGCAUACAACCGAUGUUCCCUCAAACAUUUUAAUACCAACUCAAAAUUACUAGCAUGCUUUACUUUCAACUUAAGAGUAUACCAGACCUCAACUCUUUUCCUUGAAAACACAUAGGCACCUCUAAACUGAUCAAACAAUUAUCAAUGCGCGGCAAUGGAUAACGGUUCUUACUCAUUACCCGAUUCAAUUACCUAAUAUCCAUACAUAUUCUUAAGGUCCCGUCUUUCUUCCUUAUAAACAAAGCUGGGGUUUUCCAAAGUAAUGUACUAGGUUGACUGAAACCUUUAUCAACCAAUUCCUGUGACUGAAUUUUCAAUUCCUUUAACUCUGUAUGAACCAAUCUAUAACAUAAAAUCUAUACUUGAAGACAAUUCAAUAGUGAGCACCACAUCUCUGUCUGGUGGCAAUCCAGGUAAAUCAUUCCAGAAACACAUUAGGAAAAUGUCUACCACUCGUACGUCAUCCAUAAUACUAGGAGUACGAUCCUGCAACACCACAUGAGCUAGGUAUCCUUGGCAACCUUUUGAUAACAAUCUAUUUGCUCUCACAACAGAAAUAACGGCAUGUCUCACUUCACUUUGCUCACUCACAAAAGUAACCUCUGAUAAUCCAAGACAAUGGAAAGUAACUGAUUUCCCGUAGCAAUCCAUAUUGGCACGAUUAUAAUGUAACCAAUCUGUGCUUAAAAUCACAUCGAAAUCCACAAUGUCUAACGGGAUACGAUUCGCUGGCAUAACUACUUCUCCCACCAUCACUGGACACCCUGAAUAGUCAUAACCGACAUAGAAUGACCUACCUGUUUACUUGCUUAACGAAUCCAACAAUUAAGUUAUGGGUAUUACGGUCUGCAGCCCGCAAUAAUGAUAACUCAUUGUCGUCUCGAUAAGUAAGCAACAAUUCUUAAGGGUGCAAUAUUAUCAUUUUACUCCUCACAGGAAAAAUACAUAUAUACGCCUCGAUCGUGCUCAUUCACUACUUCCUUUGGCAACAUCGUCAAUAAUAAGAAUUAUAUUAGCCGGAGUCAGUUAGAAUGACCUGUACGGCUGAGUCUAUAGCUUGACCAUCCAUGCUAGAACAUAAGUCGGAGUCACCUAUAGUGACCUGUACAACUUACUCAUCAAUUUUCCAAGUAAUAUGUCAAGGAAGACUGAUGGGUAACAACUGAUCUUAGGGACAAUUCAGGCCUCUAUGUCUCAUCUAACCACAUGAACACAUUCACAACUUCCCACACUCUCCAAAGUGCCUAAUAUUGUACCUACGGUACAAAGAUACAUUUCCUCUACCAGAGUCACCUUGUCUCUGAUAUCUGGGAUCACUAGUAAAUCUAUCACUUCGCCUCUGACCAGUGGCACUAAAACCUCAGCUGGGAAAAUUAGCUCUAGUUUCACUUCUUUUGAAGCUUUGAGUCUUCUGAGGUCUUGAUAUAACGGAUCUUUAACUUUAUUGUCUUUCUUCUGAUUCUCAUUCUUUUCUUAUUCCUCUUUACUAUCGCUGAUCAUGUUCUCAGAGUCCUCAAUGCUCAACAACAUCUCGUAAACUCCUGGUAAAAUGCACAAUGAAUAGUGGUCGCCAAAGAACGCCACUUCUUCUUAUUAUCCAACCAAAAACGACAUAAAACCUCGACCGGAUUAGCAACAACAUCCGAAUGGAAACAAGGCAAGUAUGUAAACUCUCUAUAAUAAUAUGCCGGAGGAAUGAACUUUUCCUUAAACAAUUCUUUAAACGACUUCCAAACAGCUGUUCUUCCAAUAACAUCGGAUAACAUUCCUAUCUCCAUCAGAAUGCAGAUUCAACACUCAGAAACUAGGUAGUAUCUUGACCCACCUGUCGGGAGGAAGAUUCCCUUGACUUUGCAUAAUCCGAAACGUCUUUUCCUAAAUGAUUAAGCCAUCGAUCUGCUCCCUUAGGUUCUUCAUUUCCCUAAAGUGAUUCAAAUUUAACUUAUAACCAGUCUCAAAAGGUUCCUUUAGAUAAUAGACUGAAUCACAAUGGCAAUAGUUUCCUCCCAAACUAUUAUAUCAGGGAAAUUAGGCUCAUCCGAACUACGUGGCUCGCUACGAGGCGGUAUAGUUCUGACAGAAGACAUUAGGAAAUUCUCAAGAUGUCCAAAAUUGCAACCUAGGCUCUGAUACCAACUGACACACCCCGUCCCGAAGGAGGGCAUGUUGGCCGUCACGUGAGAGUGACGUAACCAUUUACACAGUUCGGAAGCUUUAAAAAAAAUACAAUUACUAAGAUGAAACACCCGAAGGUAAGUCCUACUUUUGUGAAUUCUGUCAGAAUACCGCUGGAUUCCUCGUGGCCACCAAAGCUCUGCUAUCUAGAACCUGCAGGGGCGCAAAACAAAAUUGAGUGGGUCAGUAAAACAAAGUUUUUUUGAAAACAUUUCAUUUAAAACAUUUCUAACCCCUCGCUGUAAAACAUGUAUACUUUCCCAGAAAAUAACAUAAUAGCAUAUACCUUCAAAUAUCUCAAAUCAUCAAUCUUUAUCAAAACCAAAAAGUAUGCCAUGUCAUAAUGUCAAAAAUAGAAUAUGGAUGCAUCAAUAUAACAGGUGAAAUAAGGAAUCAACCGGAGACCCUGCAGUUGGUCAUGUACGGUUAAUUCUAUAGCUCAAUAUCCAAUCCAACUGGAGUCACCACGAUGACCUGUACGGCGUUACUCUGCACAUAAGUCGAAACUACCUGAAAUAGUCUGUACGACAAGAAUGGUGUAAUAAUACGUUCUAGUGCUUCUCUCAUCAAUCAUCUGUGCACAUAAUAUAAGGUCACCUACCAGUCAAAACCACCUCUAGUGGUCUGUAAGACUAGCAUGUCGGAACCCUCUAUCGGUCUGUAGGACAUGCACGUACUUGGAUCUAAGGUGAGCGUGCGGUGCGGUGAAUAAUAUAAACACUAACACCAUAGGUGCAGGUUAUGAGCUCUCAACACAAUUCACAUCAUCAAUGAUUCACAUGAAUAACAUAAAACUCACCUGAUACUCACUUGUACGUCCAUAGCACCAAUUCACAUAUAUAUAUGCAUCAAUUAUCAAUUCAUAUAUCUCAUAAUAUGCAUGCAAGACAUUUUAAAACAUACUUUCAUUUAAACUCAAUUUCUGGAAAAUCGAUAGUUUAUAGGUAUAAACAGAAAUACUACCCACUCACCUGGAGUUCACCCAACAACUCCCUAGCACAACACAUCAAGGCGUCAUGACGAUCGGCGCCUAGAACAAUAAUCAAAUCCAACCUCAGAAAUCAUAUCGAUAGAAUAUAUAACUUAUAUAAAACACGUCACUACGUAGUUCGAUCCGGAAGAUCUGAAACUCAGAUUUCAAAUCCAUAACUUCCAGACGUCCACAAUAUACCUCUAGGACAUCAUCCUAAAAUUUCAUUACCAUCCAACGGUCGAAUCUCCGUCAAUUGUCGAAACCGAGUGACGGUUAACAUUCUAUUUUAUGAACUUACAACUCCAAUUCCGGAAGAUCCGUAAAUCGGAUUCCCAAUCCGUAAGUUCCUAUAAUUCUCAAAUGUUACUUAUUACAAUGUAUCAAAGUUUGGUGACGAUCCAACGGUCGGAUCGUCAAUUCACAUUUUCACCUAACCACGAAUCGUAACGAACUUAGGUUCAAUUACUCAAUUUACAUCCAUCAAUUAUCAAAACUGAACCUAGAACCUAAAACAAAUGCUAAGAAUGACAUUGGCGGACCAUUGACCAUGCGCCGCCGCGGGUGGCGGUCGGCCGCCCUGGCUCACCAGAAAAUCCAACUAUUUCCAAAAAUUCUCAAAAAAUACAGAAUUGAAGAUCUCAAUAAGUAGAGUAAACUUUAUACCUGAGGUCAAGGCCAAUUUGGCCUGGAAGAGCUCCAAUUUCACCAAAAUCCGUGAAGAACCCUAGAAUUGGGUGAGUUCCAAUUCGUCUUCAAAUCAACUAUGUCGUCCCAACCAAUGCUUGGGCUUUGUUCUAGGUCCUAAGGGAAUGCUAAAUGUGUUAGUAAUUGAAAGAAAACAUUUCAAGAUUUGAAGAAUUUGAACAAGAAAGUCGCGACACCCACGGGUGCGUUCUUCACCAAUUCACCAUCAAAUUUCAUGAUUUUGGGGGUGAAACAUGAAGAGGGAAGGCCUAGGUGAUGAUUGGAAGUGGUACCUUGAUCCAAUUUGUGAGAAUUCCGGUGAAAAUCGUCGGAAAAAUGUAGAUGGGUGCGCGGGUACACGGGUUGGGGAAAACCUGUUUCUUCCUUCUCUCCUCCGCUUCUCGCUCUCUCUCCUUUCCUCCUUUCUUGCUUUCUAAUUGGCCAGUCUCCUCUCUCUCUUCUCCCCAUUCGCCAGCUCUCUCUCCUUUCUCUCCCGGAGCUCCUGCUCUCUUCCUCUAGUUGGGCAGUUUUUUGCCCAAUCUCUUCUUCUUCUCUUUUCUUCCCCCUUUCCUGUCACAUACACACACACACACACAAAACCUUUCUAUAUCUUUUUAUUUUUAUUUUCUUUCUCUUACAUCCAAGCCAUCCAUUUCAGAUUUCCUUUAAUCUGGGCCAUCCAUUUUCAUAAAAGAAAUUCUAGAUUUUACUAAAAUUAUAAUUCCUUAAAAUCCCAAAUUUCAAACGUUAAUAACUUUUUCGAUAUAACUCCAAAUCACGAACCGUCAGCGCCCACACGUUCGUAGCGACGAGUACUACAAGGAUAUGUCAAGAAAAUAAAUCUUAGAUGGCACGACACAACGAUUAACCUCGAAUAAUGCGCGUGCCUCAAAGGGCAUUUUUGUAAAAUCCUUUAUUAAAACUUAAAAAACUCUUAAAAUUAGGGACGGGCUGUCACAGAACCGUUCAUAUCGGUUUCGAUUCUCAUGUUGGUAUAACUGCUUAAUACCGAACCAAACCGUGAAUGUAAACAAUUAACUAAAUUUAAUAGUUGUAUGCAGGUGUCACCAAAUGAGUGGUGAAAAUCAAACUGGUUUUGCCUAGUGUGACUACACGGGAGCAUUUCUCAAUUAGAUCUUUUAUUUGCACGGUUCACCUAUUGAGAUAAGUCACAUAUUUAAAAAAUGAGGUCAUUUUCUUUCAUAGAUCUCCAAAUGACAUUCAAGUUUCAAUUUCAUAUUUUUCUUGGAUAGAAUGAUCUUAAGGUGUUAAGUUACUUCCUACUUUUUUCUUUCCCUAUUUCUUAGGGCUUUUUUUUAAUCUCUUGAUAAGUCCCUUUUGGGCUUAAAGUAUUAUAUUUGUACCAACAUUCUUACCCCAAAGUCAAUAUAUUUGUAUGUGUGGAUGUAUAUUUGUAUUAUGAAUAUAUAUGUACAUUUGAAUUGUGUUUCUUUUUUGGGUAAAUUACAUAAAACUAUCUCAACUAUUGGGUCAGUCACGGUUUCAUACCCCAUCUUUAAAAAAUUUCAAUGUCAUACAUCAUCUACAAAUUUUUUACAAUUUCAUACAUUCUGUCAGUUUUCUAUCAAUUCUUCCGUUAAAUAUUGACGAGGCUUAAGACGGGGCCCACUCUUUAUUAAAAAAUUUUAAAAAAUAAAAUAUUAAUGAAAUAUUAAAAAACUAAAAAAAAUCAUUUAAUAUUUUUUUUUCAUGGCGAACCCACCCCGUAUCCCCUCACCCUUUCUUCCCCUUCCCAUCUUUCCCAAACCUAAACCUAGAUCCCGUCCACCCCUUCUUUCCGACUGCCAUUCUUUGCCACAUCAACAAUCUCAUCCACAACUCCCAGCCCUUCCUCCCUUACCUCUCUCAACGCCCUAUCUCCGCCACAUCUGAACAAAUUGAGCAGUGCACCCACUGCAUUCUCCUUGCUCUUCAAGCUCAACCCGGUCGAGAGAUCCAGCAAAUCCGCACCCUUCCUCAUACCUGACCACCUGCGUAAUCAUUGUUGCGGUGUCAUCCGCGUCGUCUUGGAAGGAAGGGGAGGAGUCGAAGAGGGUUUCAGACAAGGUAUAGGGUCAGGUUCGGCAACAAGAGGGUGGUUGGAGAGUAAAUUCGGGAUCUUGGUGGCCAUGGGAGGGGGAGGGGGAGGGAUUUGAGGGUUUGAAGGGGCAGGGAAAGAGGCCAGAAGUGGUACUGGAGUAAAGAGAGGGUCGAUUAACCCAAUUUGGUUAAGGCAGAGUUCGUUAGAGCGAAGAUGGUGAGAGAGGAUGACUGCGGGAUGAGGGACUCGGGUAGUGAUAGGUGCAGAGAAGACAAGAGCGAGGUGGGUGGGAUCUGGGUUUGGGUUUAGGGAAGAUGGGAGGGGGAAGAAAGGGUGAGGGGAUAAGGGGUGGGUACCCUAUGCAAAAAAAAGUUUUAAAUGAUUUUUUUUUUAGUUUUUUUAAUAUUUAAUUAAUUUUUUAAUAGAGAGUGGGCCUCGUAUCAAGCCACGUCACUAUUUAACGAAAGAAUUGAUAGAAAACUAACAGAAGAUAAAAUUCGUAGAUGAGGUAUGACAUUGAAAUUUUUUAAAGAUGAGGUAUGAAACUAUGACUGUAAUACCCUAAAAAUUUAAAUAUAUGAAUAUGUGGAGAAAAAUUGAAAAUAAAUUGAUUUAUGGUUAUGAAAAAAUUGAAUUGAGAACUUUUAAAGUUUUGUUUCAGGAAAUUAUUAUAAUUUACGUCUUAAAAUUUAUCGACAAGUGAAAAAGACGAAAAUGCCUUAGUUGGCUUAACGUAAUUAUACGAGGACAUAUUUUAUCCUCAUAUAUUUUAUCGGAUUUCUUGAUAUAAUUGAAUAGAGAAUGACCCUACGAAUGUGUAGGCAAAAACUAUUCGUGAAACAAAGUUAUAAUGAAGAAACUAUUAACGAUUGAAAUUGAGGGCAAAAUAGUCAUUUUGCCAUUAAUUUGGAAGGCUCCAAAAAAUCUGGAGCAAUGGGAGUGCCACGUGUGUGGCUGUGAUGAAGAGGGAUGGAGAGAAAGGAGAGAGGGGGAUUGGACCAAUCAGGAAGAGGGAAAUGAGGGGACAGGAGAGAAGAAUGAAAGGGGGGAAACUGGUUGACCCGAAUAACCCAUGGACUCGACCUGUUCUCCCACCAUCCCGAUGAACCUUGCCAAUACAAACCUCGCCACCAUCCUCAAAUUAAUCAACCUCUUCACCUCGUCCAUUUCCACCCAAAUUUUAUUGGGUUUGAGCUUGAAUUCAGGCAGAACAGAACCCGUGGGUUCAAAGGGUGCCACGAUGGAAAUCCGACGAUCGUGAAAGUAAUGUUGACCACCACCACCAUCAAACACUUAUCCCGAGGCCAGGAACAAAGCCCAAACAGUUUAGGAACGGUGGUGUUGCGGAUUGGUCAAAUUGAAGAACACCCAAAUUCUAGGGUUUCGGUAGGUUCGAGGGGAAUUGGAGCUUUUCCCGGCCAAAUUGGGCUUAGUCACAAGUAUGAAAAUUUCUCCCCUCACUAAGAUUUACUUGCCUGUAAAAUUUGGUAAUUUUUGGAAAUAGUUGAAUUUUCCGAUGAGUCGAGGCGGCCAACCGCCACCUACGGCGGCACGUGGCCAGUGGGCCGCCGAUGCUAUUUUAUGCUAAAUUGAUAUCUUGAUCUCAUCUUGAUCUCAUUUUUGACGUCGUAGUAUGUGAUUUGAUUAUUGUGAACCUAGUUUCAUUAAGGUGCAUUACUUGAUUAUUAUUUGAAUUGACGAUCCAACCGUUGGAUCGUCACCAAACUCUAAUGCAUUAUAGAAUGUAAUAUUUGAGGAUAUUAGGAACUGACAAAUUGGAAUUCCGACGUACGGAUCUUUCCGAAUUGGAUUUCUAAGUUUGUAAAAUAAAUUGUUGACCGCCACCUAAUCCUAGUAAUUGGCAGAGAUCUGACCGUUGGAUCGCGAUGAGAAUUUAGUAUAUCGGUCUAUAAGCAUAAUGCAGACCUUAGGAAGUUGCAGAUCUGAAAUCCGAUGGGCGAAUCUUCCGGAUUGAAUUACAUAGGAUUGUGGACCCUACCAUUGAUCGAGAGUUGACUUUUGGUCAACAUGUUCGUAACAUUCUGAAUAUUAAAUUUAGUACUAUGGGAUACUAAGUGAAGUCUUGUGGGCCUACAUUGGUUUGAGAGUGACUCAAAUUUAUGGGAUAUGGUUAUUACCUUGAUUUCUUACAUUAAUAUCGUUUAUGAAUAUGAAAUGGUUAUAUAAAUGUGAUUUCCAUUUAAAUGUGAUUUUUUAUUAUAUAUAUUUAGCCAUGAAAUGAUCGAAUUUGAUUUAUGGUGGUUAAUAGAAUAUUAAUUAACCAUGAUUUUAUUUUGGGCCUAUUACCGUGAAUAGUGUUCGUACAUAAUUUUGGGGGCGUUAUAGUACCCAUUUGGUGUGAUUCAAUUGUGAAAGCUAAUGUUGAAUAUUUAUGUUACUAGAAUAUUUUUGGAAAUGGAUAAAAGAAUGAACAGUGAACUACAAAGGGCUUGAUCCCGCUCAUGGGUAAGUAGGCAUUCUAACAGGGGUUAGAUGCAGCCCUAAAUAAUUGAAAAUUAAUCUUUUGUUGAGAAGUUGUUUUAAUAGAAGAAAUUUGGGGAUUAAAUUGAUAAUUUUAUCGUAUGUUUUGAUAAUUAAAAUAUGGAUAUAGUUUUAUGAGGAAUUAAGGAAUUGAAGUAAAGAAUCGUGAUUAAUCGUAGUAAAUUAAUUAAGAGUUUAAAUUGGGCCUAUCAUUGGAAUUAUUUCCUGAAAAUAAGUAUUUCGGGGGCGGGGCGUUACAAUGACUGACCCAAUAGUUGAGGUAGUUAUAUGUAAUUUACCCUUCUUUUUUUGUUUGCUUGGUAUCAAUUUUCAUUUUGAUUUAGUAUGUGAAAAGGAUAUGUUUUGUUUGUAACUUGUAUAACCAUUUUAGAAGUUGUAUUUGAAUGCAAGUAUGCAAAAACAAAUAAACUUUAAAUACCUUUUUAUUUGGUAUUCAAAUGAUUUAGUAUUCAGAACGGUAAACUGGCAUGAACUGAAUCGAAACUGGUGUGAUACGAACCGUACGAUUUUAGUAAUAAAUUUAAGCAAAAUUGCACCAAACCAAAUCGUUGAUAUAUCCCGGUUUCAGUUCCGGUUUGAGGGUGAAACCACACCGAACCGUACUGUGUCCACCCCUACAUUUGGGUUAAAUUUUAUCAAGUAAUUCUCAAAUUGAAAAGCUCACAUUUCUGGGUCAGUUCAAUUUGCAACGGUUCAUAUCAUUUGUCGGGAAUAGCACGCCGCUCGACUCUGUAGACGAGGUUGUCGCAGUUGCUUAGAGAGGUUGGUUUCAGCAACCAGGUCGUUCGGGUGCGGGUGACGCAAUAUGUAAGGGGGUAGGGGGACUAAAGGUCGGAGGUGAGAGAGAUAUAAAGGAAAUCGGGAAGAAGGUUACUCCAGGAAAAGGUUCACGCGAAGGUAGUAGCUACGCUUGAAGAACCGCAUAUGUCGAGUGGUUUCUGGGGUUGCGUUAGCAAGGGUGGCAGGCCCUAUUAGACACCAGAUAGUACUAUUUAGUACGAAUCCAAUGUUUGGUGCCAUCUGUACUAAAUAAGAACCAGACAAAUUAAUUCGGUCCCACCUAUUUUAUACGGCUCACACUCACUAACUUAUACACUCCACAACUUAUGUAUAAUUAGUCGGGUUGCUAAAAGAAGCAUGCUCGCUGCUUUCUCGAUCCCUUUCUCGAAUCCUCUUCCAGCUACUUGCGUUUGCCAUCGUCUACGUCAAGAAUUUCUCCUCCCUCUUCUCUCUACCUCUUACCCUCCAUUUUUCUCUUUCUCCUUCUGAUUCCUUACUUGUACAAGUCACCCUAUUCGAAUCCAACCCUCUUAGCCCUAAUUGAUUAGCAACAAAGCACCUGCCUCUAAAACUCAACUGCUUUUGCAUAUCUAAAUGGGUUUCUCAUGCAAUUUUUCUACAAUUUCUUGUAUAUAUUUUGGUCGAAUUCGAAUCAAGUUUCUUUAAUCUUGGUACUAGUUUGGGGCAAAGUUUCAAAAGACAUUAGGCACUAGUUGUGCGGUAAGUUGAGGUUUAGUGCAUCGACAACUAGGUGGGGCCUAGGCGGACUUGACAAAUUUUAUUCAAUUUAUUAUAUAACAUGAAAUAGGUAUCUACCACUUAGUACUACGGUCUAGUGAUAUUAAUCUUCAUUUGUAAGUGAGAGAUUUUAGAUUUGAUUCUCGUCAAAAGGCGAAUUUAUCCAAUGGUAUAAGUAAGAUGAUGAGUAUUUAUCACCAAUUAAGGGUGGUAAGCAAAAAUACACACGUUUAUAAUUGAGAGAACAACAAGGUGAAUGCAACUAAUUUCCAAUUUUUUACUACAUUGAACCCCACGUCCCCCUUCUUCAUAGAAAACUAUGCUGCUGAGGCUGCAUAUCCCUCAGUUUCCGAGCCUGACCAUGUUUACGUCCUUGCUUCAAACUUCAGCCGACUCCAUGCUUUGAAAUUGUGUAUAUACUUCUACCAUCUUACCCUACACUCUACUCCUUCAAGCUCUCCUGAGCUUUGUUCUUUAUUUUCCUUUUUCUUUUUCUUUUUUUUUCUUUCUAUUUUUCAUUUCAAACCAUCACAUUUCAGCUCGCCUAGCCAUCAUCAGUCAUGGAUAUGGUUCAAGUACAAUGCAACCAGGUUGAAUCAGCCACAGUCAAGGCUCACUCGAAGCGAUCAACGUGCCCGUAAUUACAGCCUACGCCGCUGCGCCACCAUGCUCCUUUGCUGGUACAUUCAAGGAGAUGAUUAGCUAGUUUGACUCUCUUCUUUACACCUUAUCCCAGAAAAACUUAUUAUCUGAUCCCAUCGUCAUACCUAAUGUUUCAUCCUCUGACAACAUGUUUACGAGAUCCAUCACUGUUAUAUGAUGCGACUCACAUGCAUGUCGUGAGUGAGAGGUCACACAUGCAUGUAUGACGGGUUCAGUGCUCACUAAACCUCACCGUCCGGUCUUACUAUAACCUUUUUUCCUUGUACCUACACUACACUACUCCAUGGAAGAUGCUUGUUUCUGCUGGUCCGGUUUGGUUUCAAUUGUUGUGUGGGUUAUCUUCUCCUUGCUCUGGAGUGCCACUGCUCAGUUUUUUGACCUAAUUUUGGGGCCAACCCAACUUAGGUUUAUGGAGCACAUAAGAGGUUAAAAUUUAUGCCCACACACAUGGUUUUGAACUAGCCGGACCUUCAAAGCAUAGACACUGUAGCUGACAUGGAGGAGUCUAUCUGAAAGGCCUGUUUGAUUGACUCAUUGCAGCCUCAAUGGUCAAUAUUUACCAGUACAACUGGUGUAUGCUUUUUCCUAUUUUUCUUUAUUUUGUUUUCUCCCUUUUUCCUUCUUUCCGAAUUUUUUUGGAGUUUUACGGUAGAAAAUGUUUUCUGAUCAGAAUUCUCUCCGGAUCCUUUUUAUGGAAUCCUAGAGAUCCUCACAUGCUAACCAUUCAUUGUAUAUCGUAUGAUCAGUUUUCAUUAGGUACUAUUUGUGUUGAAUUUUAAAUAAUAAAAGUCAAAUAAUUUUUUACCGUAUGAUGUACAAAAAUGACUAAGAUGUGAGAAUCUAUAAGAUUCCUACAAUUUAAUCGGAUGGGAUCCAAAUCCAAUGUUUUCACCCUCUUUGUCAAUGUUGGAGAAUAUAAAGCUUGUAAUCAUGGGUUUGCAGGCGAUGUUGUAAGAGCAAUGGAGCACUUGCUAUAUAAUAAGUUCUAGUUGCCAACAUCUUGGUUUGGCCAAAAAUGUUUAAUAACUUGUAAUCAUGGGUUUUGCAAUGAUUGUCAUUUGGAUUCAAAUGUGACUAUAAUUAGAUAAAUUGACUCAACACCCUUAAAUUUAACUUUAUGAUUAUCUGGAUUAUAAAAUAUUAUGUGACUCUAAAUAAGUGUAAGACUUACAUGCAACAGAUGUAUAGUACUUUCUAUUUCUCUUUGCAUCUCUCAUUAAUCAUGUGACGAGAGAUGCAGAGAAGGCGAUAAACCGGUUGCAGAAAAGCCGCUCUCCUAGAACAAUCAGUAUGAAAUCCACUAUAAACAGUAAGUUCUACAUCCUUCUUGUACCCCUACUCAUAUACACACAAGAUGUGAAAUUCCACUACAAACAGCAAAUUCCACAUCCAAUCUCGUGACCCACUCAAAUGGGAUGUCGACGGAUAUGCUGUCAAGUUUGGGAAAGUUUGCAGAUUCAUCAAAUGAAACACCUAAUAAUGCCUGAAAAUAUAUUAGGUAAAAUCUAAACAAGGAUUUCCCUUAAAAUCUAAACAAGGAUUUCCCAAACGUGCCUUGUAAUCUAAGGGCUCGUUUGAAAAUACUUUUUAAAUUAUUGAAAGCAUUUUUUAUGAAAAUGUUUUUUAAAUCAAUCUUUAGUAAUACUAAAAAUCUAAGUAGAUUCUAGAAAAACAAUUCAAGUGCGCCCUGCAAGAAGCAUAUAUCUGGUGUUUCUUAAAAAAAAAAAACAUUUUAAAUACUUCUGGAUCCUAAAAUCAAUUUCACCAAAAACGUUUUCAUUCAUUUUAAAAUCAAUUCCAAACAAUCCCUAAAUCUUUAACACCAAUCAUGUUUUCAAACUUUAAACUGUUUUAAUAUUUCCACAUGCCAUCGGCAAAAAAUUUCUACAAUUGUUCAAAAGGAUAUGGAACACUUUCAGCUACUACUCAAAAGUACAAAAGCGAUGGGAUUCACCCAGACUUCCAUAUGCGAGCUAUAUGUCGACAUGGUAUUCCUUCUUUGUAUUAUGUACAACCCAAUAUAUCUGCAAAUUCGAUGUCAUUGGUCGAUUCAAUCCUUGAAAAGUAACAUCACAUAGAGGGGUACAUUUACUGCAGCGAUGAUCAUGACCAUUAGUAAUGUCUGCACCAAUCUUCUGGUCACCGUCUUUUUCCUUGAUCUGCUUGCUCUAGGCAGUAACUUUGCCAAUGGAUCAACCACAGAAUCCGCAUCAGAGUCUCCAUUCACAGAAACCUCUAUGUCCUGGGAAAUAUUCUUUCUAGCUGCGGACUGCAGCACAGCAUUACCUCUGCUAGAAAAGAAAAGAAUGUAAAGCACAUGAUAUAUCAAUGGAUAUAUAACAAUUAGAUAAGACGAGAGAAAAUCUGUUAAGGUGGUUUGGACAUGUGAAACGAAGACCUACAAAACCAAUGAAAUGUUUAGCACACACUCAAAUACCAUUCCACCACUCGCCAUCUUAAAAACGCACACUUCUUCCAUUGGAACAAUAUUCCCAAAAGACUAAUCACUAGAGGGACUCCCCAUAAUAGCUUAUACAACUCGCGUUAACUCAAUACACAGGUGAUGUGGGACUCGAUAUGUACAUACACAGCCACAUACAAUAGAAAUAGGGUAUGAAAAUGUAGGACAGAAACAAACCUUUCAACUGAGUUUCUCUCGAUUGAACGUGCAAUAGAAGUGCCUAUGGCUUUCUUGACAAGAUGCCUUCUGCAUCCCAAAUCAUCUCAUAUACACAGUUUAGAUAUUCAAUUUUCUCUUUUGUUCGACUUCUGAUGCUACUGAUUACUUGUUUUACAAUCCCCAUCAAAUCACUACAAUGAUGCCAAACACUCACACCACUAUAUGGCCAAAGCAGGAGAGAAACAAGGGUAAAAACAAAUAGUGAUAGAUACCUGGAAAUUUGUGAAAAGACAGGUAAGAGACGGAAACAAAGCCAACGGAAAAGCUUAGUUGUAUAAAUCAACACACAUCAACAUGAAGAGUUACCAUAAAUAAAUGUGUGAUUGCAUUGGAAGAAAGCACGGAUAAGUUGAGAUUGCCUCUUCAGAACUGGAUGCAUUUGAAGGUACAAAAUUACUAGCAGACAAUAACAUGAAAGACGGAUACAAGUUUCCCUGCUGCCGACUUACUAUCCCUACAGUGUACUGAAAGGUAUUUAUCAAUAAUAAAUCAUGUCCUGGUAAGAAUUAUACAUCCCAACGCAUAGAGUGCUUACCUCCCCCACAGGCCCUUUUUUGGCGUAUGGAUCACACGGCACUGAUCAUGAUCAUGACCGGAUAAAACAAGUAUCUACAGAAAUCACUCAAAAAGUUAUUGUUGCAAGUAAAAUAUAGAUCCUACAGUCUGAAUCAAUUAAUAGGGCUCUCACAGGCAAGAUGCAUGAUAGAGAGGAAACAGCACUAACCGGUUUAAUUGAAUCCAGUACGUAGUUUGAUGAUUCCUCUGUAAUGUAGUUCUGAUACCUGUAAAAUUGUACUGAAUCCUUGGCUGCCACCUACCAAACUUGCAAGAUAAUGUAGCUUUCUGAUUUCAGUUGUCCAAAACACAAGACGAGAAAACACUUACAUUACUUCUUGACCAUUAGCAGAUCGCAGAAUCCGCUAAACAUUUAAAGUACAAAUAAAAAACAUCGUGAGUUUAAAUACUAAACAUCGUGAGUUUAAAAACAUUAUGAGUACAAAUAAACUCAACAUCUGAAAAGCCAUUACAAUCUGUCCAAUCUCUUCGAUCCAAUCGAAUAUGGGUCAAUAAAACCCUUGGAUACGCUUGAACAUCUAUAAAUGAAUUAAUGGAAUAUGUUCGUUGAUCUUUUGUAUAUGGUUUCUCUAGAAAAUUAUGCAAAGUUCACACUCAGAUCGUCUUCAUUUCAAUAAUAUGCGCAUGUAAUACUAACAAAACGAAAAAGUUUUUAAGCAAUGUGCAAGACAAACAAGUAACUUAAGUUAUUAUUUAAUGGCAACAUAACAAAAACACCUUUUCCAUACGAGAGUGGAGAACUCCAUAGCCAAUGUCAUGGUUUCCAGGAAGGUAGUAAACUAGGAUAUUUAAAUAUCUGUCUCGCACCCUCAGAGAAAAAAUAUGUCUCAGACGGAUUAACGACUCAUUCCACCUAAAAUCAAGCAAACAACGGCAAUGCCAUUCCACAGAAUACAGCAAAGUCAAUCCAAGAUUGGAACAAAAAAGAACCUAACCUUAGCGAGUCAAGCAACAAUUUUUAAAGAAAACCCAACAAUUCCGAGCUAAUUCGAUAUAAAGCCAUCAGAUGAAGCAAUCAAAUCAACUAAAACAUCAACAAAGAAAGCACAUUUCACUGAAACAGCAAAAAAAACCAUUGGGCUUUCUUACUCUUCAUCUGAAAGAUAAGGACCGCCGUCAAAAUAAUCACCCAAAAUGAAAAUCACAUCGGGCCAGAGAGGAAGUACAAAUUGGUGAAACGCUCUGCGCAUGUACAGGUCUGAAGAGCUGCGCCAAUUCGAUGACUCACCAAAGCAUUUUCCCACAAAAGUUGAAUAUCAGUGAUGUCUCCCUCAUGAAGGUGGCAAUUAUGCAGACAUCACUCUUGCGAGCUUUUGCCUUUUCAAAUCCAAAUCCAAGACUCUGCGGUGCGAUAGCGUAGAGUGACGUUCCUCCUGACUUAAUUUCAGGAUAUUCUCCUUCGUGAUUCUGAUCGUACUUGAAUAUCAGUAUCAAUAACAUCGUCUUUCUUUUCACACACGCAUGAAAAAAGAAAAAAAAAAAAAAUCUCGUCAUGGCAGGGAUAAUCAAUUCAUAUCAGGAAUGAGUAAAACCAAUUAAGUAAUCGCACCGAAAUGUUCAGUGACAUCUGCAAUUCUGCAUUCCCAAAGAUUUAUGCAAUUCGCACUCCGGAUUAACAGAACUAGUGAUGUGUGCAUCGGCAGGUGUCUCAAAAUUUAGAAAUUUACACAGAAUCUAACAGUAACAGACCGAUUACAAAAAAUUUCAAUGGACAUUUUAUUUUUUAUAUAUUACUUUGUUCAUCAAUGGAUAGAAUGACUUUAUGCAAUCAAUUGCGAUCAAUCCAAUGUACGGAUAUCACAAUCAGGUUCUUCUGCGCGAUUCUUGUUCAGAGAAGGGGUGAAAGUCUAAGACAGAAAGAUCGCUGUCGUGCAAAAAUUCAUGUUUUCUGUAAUAAAAGAGUUGGAAAUGCCAAGCCUCAGAGGUUUAGACAAAACUAUAGAUGCCUCGUAGAUCUUUAAAGCAUUUACACAAGUAAUGUGGUGAAAUUCUGCAACAAUACCCAAAAUAUUUAUGUGCAAGUAUACAUAUAAAUACUUUCUUAACAAGUGUCAAAGGAAAAAAAAUAAUGUACUAGUCUUUAUCUUCAUGUUGCUGGAUGUCCCAACAUCUUUCAGCCAACUGAUAACUUCCUUGAUCGUAGGUCUCUUAAGAUGGUUCUGGUUGACACACAAGCAAGCAACAUCAAGAACCUGCAGCAUCUCUUCUUCAAAGCCUUUCCCUCUCAGGAGAGGAUCAAAAACUUCCUCAGGUUUGCCUUCUCUCCUCAUUUGCUGCACCCAGCCAACCAACUCUCUUGACCCCCUUGGCUUGCAUACCUCAAAAGGCCUUUUUCCGGUUAGCAGCUCAAGCAUGACAACCCCGAAACUGUACAUAUCUCCUCUCAAAGUGGCCACCCAUGCUUGUCCAUACUCUGGAGGAAUGUAACCAAGAGUUCCAACAAGCUCGGUUGUAACAUGAGUCUGGUACGGAAGAAUCAACCGGGACAAUCCAAAAUCAGCAACAUGUGCUUGAAAUUUAUCAUCCAGGAGGAUGUUGCUUGACUUGAUAUCACGAUGCACAAUGUGCGGCUCACAUAUUUGGUGCAUGUAAGCCAACCCACAGCCUGCUCCUCGCAAAAUAUUCAGUCGAAUUGACCAAUCUAAUUGGGAAGGACCAUCCACUUUCUCAUGUAACCAGUAAUCCAGACUCCCAUUCUCCAUAUACGAAUACAUUAAUAGGCGAACACCAUCAUGCACGCAAUAACCUUGCAGGGAAACCAGAUUCUCAUGUUGGGCAGUGGACAGUGCCUCAACUUCUGCUGUGAAUUCCCUUUCCACCAGACCCAAGUCUCCUGAGAGUUUCUUAACAGCUAGCCUGGUCCCAUUUGCCAACGUUGCUCUGUAAACCAGACCAAAACCUCCACACCCAAUGAUGUUUGCUUGACUGAAAUUGUCAGUCGCCUUCAAGAUUUCAGUUAUACUAAGAUCCUUGAUUUCAUUGGUCUUGGUUGGGAACAGUAUGACUAAGCUGGUAUCCUUGUCAAGCUCAGGAGCAACAACAGUAGAUUGGCUAGACAUGGUCUCGAAAUCCGUCUUGUCAGUAUCUCCUCCAGGAAUGAUUUUUCUAUUAGACAACAUCCACACUACUAACAAGACAACAAUAAAUACAAUGCCAAAACAGAUCCCAAAGGUGAGCCCAAUAAGAAGGUUUCUGUUAGAUCUUCGACCAGCAGGUGAUAAAGGUUGAGGGCAAGUGAUGUGAGCAGUUGGAGGGCCGCAUAGUCCAGCAUUCCCUUCAAAGCUGGAGUUCAUAAAAGUAUCAAACUGACCUCCAGAUGGUACAAGUCCCUUAAGAUCAUUGUAAGCCACACUGAAGGAAGACAAGAAAUGCAGACCUUUGAGAGAAGCAGGGAUUUCACCGGAAAGAUGGUUAUAGGAGAGGUCCAAUUUCUCUAAGUUGGUCAGGUUAGAAAUUUGUUCCGGGAUGCAGCCAGUGAAGUUGUUAUGACUGAGGUCCAUCACAUGAAUAUACUUCAAUUGACCAAUCUCAAUGGGGAUACUGCCAGUAAGGCUGUUGUUACCCAAAUAUAUUGCCGGGGGGAGGUUGGACAACUGAUUGUACUGCUGAUUAGUAGCACUGUUGGGCAUCACAAAGACAGGCAACUCUAGAUAACUUCUGUCCACUAUCUCACUAGCCUCUUUCAAUGUCAAAGCUUGCAUCCAGCAGAACUCAAGAGGAAAUCCUCCUCUAAGGUGGUUAUUAGACAAAUCAACGUAGAAAAGGUUGUGCAGACUGCCCAACCAACCGGGGAUCGAACCAGUUAUAAAAUUAAACGACAAGUCCAAGACUUCAAGAUUUGUAACAUUGGCUAGCCAGGUGGGUACUUGACCUGUGAAUUGGCAACCCCCGAUAGCAAAAACCUGAAGACUUUGGAAUCCAACUGGGGCUCCAAGGCUUUUAUCAUCUGGCAAAGCCUCAUUCCAAAAAUUCUUCGACAAGACCAGAGUGGUCAGAUUCUUGCAACCCUUCAGAUUCCUAAAAGCCCCCGCGGCAUUUGUCAGGCUGUUGGUAGAGAUGGACAGGAAAGACAACGAUUCUAACGCGACUAUUUCAGGUGAUAUCUCGCCAGUGAGCUGGUUGCUAGCCAAUCUAAUAGCAGUUAAGGACUUGCACGAGUAGAGGCUUUGAGGUAACUCACCAAUGAAGUUGUUGUUGCCAAGGUCCAGAGUGGCGAGGCGUUGGAGAGUGGAAAAAUUGAAGGCAGAGAGCUGUCCAUUUAAGUUGUUAACCCGCAAAUUCAAGGUGGAU